Molecule: ribosomal RNA, 676 nt
Filed under: uncultured fungus
Lineage: Eukaryota; Fungi
Description: eukaryotic LSU rRNA
Rfam family: 5.8S ribosomal RNA (bases 256-409)
Source: RNAcentral
AGUAAAAGUCGUAACAAGGUUUCCGUAGGUGAACCUGCGGAAGGAUCAUUAUCGAAUAAACUAGGUGGGUUGUUGCUGUCCCUCUCGGGGGAAUUGUGCACGCCCUACCUUUUUUGUUUUUCCACCUGUGCACACACUGUAGGUCUGGAGGGGAAGGGAGGCAACUCCCUGACGCUUCAGGUCCUAUGUCUUUACACAUACACUAUUAAAAGUAACAGAACGAUUCAAUGGGCUCUAAGCCUAUAAACUAUAUACAACUUUCAGCAACGGAUCUCUUGGCUCUCGCAUCGAUGAAGAACGCAGCGAAAUGCGAUAAGUAAUGUGAAUUGCAGAAUUCAGUGAAUCAUCGAAUCUUUGAACGCACCUUGCGCUCGUUGGUAUUCCGACGAGCAUGCCUGUUUGAGUGUCAUUAAAUUCUCAACCUCAUCGCUUUUGUGAUGAUGGCUUGGAAGUGGAGGUUUUUUGCAGGCUGAAAAGUCUGCUCCUCUCAAAUGAAUUAGUGGGUGCCCCGCGCAAACCUAUCUAUUGGUGUGAUAAUUAUCUACGCCGUGGAUCCUUAGGAUUGCUGUAAAAAGGUGUUUGCCCUGCUUCUAACCGUCUUCGGACAACUUGAACCAUUUGACCUCAAAUCAGGUAGGACUACCCGCUGAACUUAAGCAUAUCAAUAAGCGGAGGA